CCGAAAGAAGACGUCGAUGUUACAAACAAAAAUAAAUAACUUCCUUUAUCUGUUGGCUCACUCCCCAAAUUGUAUUUGGGAAAUAGCACACUAUGAAACUUGCCCAAGUUCACACAGCUGGUAAAUGAUGAAGCUGAGAUUCAUUCAUUCAGCAGACAUCAUUCAGCUCCUCCUAAGUGCCAUGUACAAUGAAGAGGCUGAUAAAUCACCAAGCCAAAGACUAUUUAUGUCUUACCUGAUGAUGCUGAAAGUGAAAACAAUGUCAUUACAGCUCUAGAGAGUCAACCAAAAAGACGGAACGUGACACAGAAAAGGUUUGACAGGAUCUGACAAGUCAGGGGUGUGAUGGUUUAGAGGAUACAGAUAACACUGGCCAGAAUGGUAGCCAUAGUGGGAUCAUAACAAGAUUAAUUAGACAAUGUGAAUAUAAAAGCAUUCCUAGUAGGAGCUGACAUUGCAUCUCUAAUUUCAAGAGAGGAGAGAAAGGGAAGGAAACAUUUGAAGCCAUUUUUUAAGUGUCUGCUCUGAACUGGGUAUUAUCACAUGAGGAAAACCCACAUAGCAAUGUUCAGAGAGACAAGUGCAUCUCAUUUCACAUUUUACAUCUUUCUGGAUGUCACUUUCUAUAUGUUUAAUGCAAUGAUAGUGAUAUUUCUUUCUUCGUAUUGUCUUAGUUUAUGCCUAACACACUGCAGGUUCUCAAUAAAUGGUAGUUUUCUUA
Sapajus apella (tufted capuchin) is the source of this 721-nucleotide long non-coding RNA. RefSeq lists it as uncharacterized. Lineage: Eukaryota; Metazoa; Chordata; Mammalia; Primates; Cebidae. The record is from RefSeq and is a predicted model, not a curated record. The transcript has 2 exons.